Molecule: transfer RNA, 73 nt
Filed under: Bacillota bacterium
Lineage: Bacteria; Bacillati; Bacillota
Also listed under: 1 other name
Description: tRNA-Lys
Rfam family: tRNA
About the family: Transfer RNA (tRNA) molecules are approximately 80 nucleotides in length.
Source: RNAcentral
GGGGCAUUAGCUCAAUUGGUAGAGCACCAGACUCUUAAUCUGGGUGUUCGGGGUUCGAGACCCCGAUGCCUCA